CAAAACGUCAGGUCGAGGUGUAGCGCAUGAAGUGGGAAGAAAUGGGCUACAUUUUCUAAUAUAGAAUAUUACGAACAUGCACCAUGAAACAAUGCUUGAAGGAGGAUUUAGUAGUAAAAGGGAAAUAGAGUGUCCCUUUGAACCCGGCUCUGAGACGCGUACACACCGCCCGUCACUCUCCCCUGUCAAAACGCACCAAAAAUACAUAAUACAACAGCACUGACAAGGGGAGGCAAGUCGUAACACGGUAAGUGUACCGGAAGGUGCACUUGGAUCAAAC
RNAcentral lists this ribosomal RNA (280 nucleotides) under Cyprinus carpio (common carp). Its description in RNAcentral is "partial small subunit ribosomal RNA". It matches the Rfam family "Bacterial small subunit ribosomal RNA", at positions 1178 to 1533 of the family's 1533-position model. The record is from RNAcentral. Lineage: Eukaryota; Metazoa; Chordata; Actinopteri; Cypriniformes; Cyprinidae.